AUGAUCCUCAAUGCAGAAUUUGAAGCUGAUAUCAUGCAAAACAUCAACCGGAGCUCCAACACCCCCAUCUCCGUGCACCGUGUCAUGUUUGGACCCGAAGGCUGGGCGGACCUACCACAUGGAUUAUUGCACUCCAUCAUUGUCCUGUUGGGUUCAACUCGUGGCCUUCUUGCAUUCAUCGCCACCCGCCCUAGCUGGUAUGCCGCAUUCAUGUCAAUCAAAUCUACCUUAGGCAAGCUCUUCCCAACUGUUAUUUUCUGGAACCGUGCCGACCAGACAAGUUCAGCUGGCUCUAACAUUGGAAACACAUGGGAGCUCAUUGAUCCUGUAUAUCCAAGUACUCCGUUGUGUCGCUUGACCCCUCCAAGUAUUUUGGACAAAAUGGCAUUCGUCAAAUGUUCUUAUGGUCAUGCGAUUUUCUGCUACGACAGAUCCCUUGUCAUUAUGGACGUGCUCACUGGCACUAUGGUUGCAGCUCCACCUUUCCCAUUGAGUCAACUAUGCUACAUAACCUUCAUAUCUCUAGAGGAGUCACCAGAUUCAUAUCUAUUUGUCAGCAGCCCGCACUGCCUGUACGCUUGGCGAGUUGGGAGCCCCUCUUGGUUGCACUGCGAUUUUCUAAAUGCACAUUUGAUCAAGGAGAUGGUGUCCUUCAAAGGCCGGGUCAUUAUGAGGAUGCGUCAAAAACUAUACACCGUGCAUUUGGCACCUCAGUUUCAUGUUGAGGUACUAAGAGUUGAUUGCAGAGAUUAUAUGGACCCGUACGUGCUUUCCGGAAAUUUGGUGGCUUGUGAAGACACACUUCUCCUACUUGGUCGUAACGGGGAAGCCUUCUCCAUUGACUUCUCAACUGAACCUGCAAAGUAUGUGAGCAUGGAAGAGGGAGGCUUGAAGAAGUGGGCGUUCUUCUUUGGCGAGAAACGUACUGGACAGCAACGACUCUUAGUGAACCCAGAGAGAAUGGGUUUAAGGGGUGACCUUGUCUAUCAGUUGGAUGAAAACGCCCGAGUAUUUUCAUACCCAGUAGAUGGCAACCAAAAUGAGGAGUUGGAGCCAGAACCUUGUUUUGCGACGAUCAAUGCUUAUCUUGCUCGCAAUCAUACAUCCUUUGCAGCUUGGGUAUGA
RNAcentral lists this ribosomal RNA (1125 nucleotides) under Triticum aestivum (bread wheat). Its description in RNAcentral is "partial small subunit ribosomal RNA". The record is from RNAcentral. Lineage: Eukaryota; Viridiplantae; Streptophyta; Magnoliopsida; Poales; Poaceae.